AGUUUGAUCCUGGCUCGAAUGAGCGCUGGCGGCAGGCCUAACACAUGCAAGUCGAACGGAGUUAUAUUGUAGCUUGCUAUGGUAUAACUUAGUGGCAGACGGGUGAGUAACGUAUAGGAAUCUACCUAGUAGUACGGAAUAAUUGUUGGAAACGGCAACUAAUACCGUAUACGCCCUACGGGGGAAAAAUUUAUUGCUAUUAGAUGAGCCUAUAUUAGAUUAGCUAGUUGGUGGAGUAAUAGCCUACCAAGGCAAUGAUCUAUAGCUGAUCUGAGAGGAUGAUCAGCCACACUGGAACUGAGAUACGGUCCAGACUCCUACGGGAGGCAGCAGUGGGGAAUAUUGGACAAUGGGCGAAAGCCUGAUCCAGCCAUGCCGCAUGAGUGAAGAAGGCCUUUGGGUUGUAAAGCUCUUUUAGUGAGGAAGAUAAUGACGGUACUCACAGAAGAAGUCCUGGCUAACUCCGUGCCAGCAGCCGCGGUAAUACGGAGAGGGCUAGCGUUAUUCGGAAUUAUUGGGCGUAAAGGGCGCGUAGGCGGAUUAGUAAGUUAAAAGUGAAAUCCCAAGGCUCAACCUUGGAAUUGCUUUUAAAACUGCUAAUCUAGAGAUUGAAAGAGGAUAGAGGAAUUCCUAGUGUAGAGGUGAAAUUCGUAAAUAUUAGGAGGAACACCAGUGGCGAAGGCGUCUAUCUGGUUCAAAUCUGACGCUGAGGCGCGAAGGCGUGGGGAGCAAACAGGAUUAGAUACCCUGGUAGUCCACGCUGUAAACGAUGAAUGUUAAAUAUGGGAAGUUUUACUUUCUGUAUUACAGCUAACGCGUUAAACAUUCCGCCUGGGGACUACGGUCGCAAGAUUAAAACUCCAAGGAAUUGACGGGGACCCGCACA
This 886-nucleotide ribosomal RNA is filed under the name uncultured bacterium. Its description in RNAcentral is "bacterial SSU rRNA". It matches the Rfam family "Bacterial small subunit ribosomal RNA", at positions 10 to 927 of the family's 1533-position model. The record is from RNAcentral.